UUGUUGCGGUUAAAACGUUCGUAGUUGAAUUUGUGUCCCACACGGGUAAUUGGCCCACUUACGGGUUCUUAUUACUUGCCGGCUUGCUGGCUUUAGUGUGCGGACGUUUUACCGGUGAGGGAAACGGUGUAGUUUCGGCUGCAAUACGCCCCUUAUUUAUUUCAUAAACCCGUCUUGGUGCUUUUAAUCGAGUGCCAAUGUGGGCCGGUACUAUUACUUUGAACAAAUUAGAGUGCUUAAAGCAGGCUAAAUUUAAUGAAAGUUAAAACGCCUGAAUAUAUUUUGCAUGGAAUAAUGGAAUAGGACCUCUGUUCUACUUUCAUUGGUUUUUAGACCAAGAGGUAAUGAUUAAUAGAAGCAGUUGGGGGCAUUAGUAUUACGAGGCGAGAGGUGAAAUUCGUAGACCCUCGUAAGACUAACUUAAGCGAAAGCAUUUGCCAAGGAUGUUUUCAUUAAUCAAGAACGAAAGUUAGAGGAUCGAAGGCGAUCAGAUACCGCCCUAGUUCUAACCAUAAACGAUGCCAGCUAGCAAUUGUAUGUAGCUACUAAUUUUGGUUCAUACAGUCGCUUUCCGGGAAACCAAAGCUUUUGGGCUCCGGGGGAAGUAUGGUUGCAAAGCUGAAACUUAAA
RNAcentral lists this ribosomal RNA (630 nucleotides) under uncultured eukaryote. Its description in RNAcentral is "SSU rRNA". It matches the Rfam family "Eukaryotic small subunit ribosomal RNA", at positions 610 to 1148 of the family's 1831-position model. The record is from RNAcentral.